Molecule: ribosomal RNA, 1372 nt
Filed under: uncultured bacterium
Lineage: Bacteria
Description: bacterial SSU rRNA
Rfam family: Bacterial small subunit ribosomal RNA
Source: RNAcentral
GAUGAACGCUGGCGGCGUGCCUAAUACAUGCAAGUCGAGCGAACGGACGAGAAGCUUGCUUCUCUGAUGUUAGCGGCGGACGGGUGAGUAACACGUGGAUAACCUACCUAUAAGACUGGGAUAACUUCGGGAAACCGGAGCUAAUACCGGAUAAUAUUUUGAACCGCAUGGUUCAAAAGUGAAAGACGGUCUUGCUGUCACUUAUAGAUGGAUCCGCGCUGCAUUAGCUAGUUGGUAAGGUAACGGCUUACCAAGGCAACGAUGCAUAGCCGACCUGAGAGGGUGAUCGGCCACACUGGAACUGAGACACGGUCCAGACUCCUACGGGAGGCAGCAGUAGGGAAUCUUCCGCAAUGGGCGAAAGCCUGACGGAGCAACGCCGCGUGAGUGAUGAAGGUCUUCGGAUCGUAAAACUCUGUUAUUAGGGAAGAACAUAUGUGUAAGUAACUGUGCACAUCUUGACGGUACCUAAUCAGAAAGCCACGGCUAACUACGUGCCAGCAGCCGCGGUAAUACGUAGGUGGCAAGCGUUAUCCGGAAUUAUUGGGCGUAAAGCGCGCGUAGGCGGUUUUUUAAGUCUGAUGUGAAAGCCCACGGCUCAACCGUGGAGGGUCAUUGGAAACUGGAAAACUUGAGUGCAGAAGAGGAAAGUGGAAUUCCAUGUGUAGCGGUGAAAUGCGCAGAGAUAUGGAGGAACACCAGUGGCGAAGGCGACUUUCUGGUCUGUAACUGACGCUGAUGUGCGAAAGCGUGGGGAUCAAACAGGAUUAGAUACCCUGGUAGUCCACGCCGUAAACGAUGAGUGCUAAGUGUUAGGGGGUUUCCGCCCCUUAGUGCUGCAGCUAACGCAUUAAGCACUCCGCCUGGGGAGUACGACCGCAAGGUUGAAACUCAAAGGAAUUGACGGGGACCCGCACAAGCGGUGGAGCAUGUGGUUUAAUUCGAAGCAACGCGAAGAACCUUACCAAAUCUUGACAUCCUUUGACAACUCUAGAGAUAGAGCCUUCCCCUUCGGGGGACAAAGUGACAGGUGGUGCAUGGUUGUCGUCAGCUCGUGUCGUGAGAUGUUGGGUUAAGUCCCGCAACGAGCGCAACCCUUAAGCUUAGUUGCCAUCAUUAAGUUGGGCACUCUAAGUUGACUGCCGGUGACAAACCGGAGGAAGGUGGGGAUGACGUCAAAUCAUCAUGCCCCUUAUGAUUUGGGCUACACACGUGCUACAAUGGACAAUACAAAGGGCAGCGAAACCGCGAGGUCAAGCAAAUCCCAUAAAGUUGUUCUCAGUUCGGAUUGUAGUCUGCAACUCGACUACAUGAAGCUGGAAUCGCUAGUAAUCGUAGAUCAGCAUUCUACGGUGAAUACGUUCCCGGGUCU